AUGUUAGUGGAAGUUGGUAUUCUGUCGAUUAUCCUGUUCAUUAUUUUUUGGGAAUUCAACACCCUCAGCCAUAUUUUCAUCAAAUUCAUUUGGCAAAAAUUAACGCUCUCUGAAUCCUAUCCUCAGGCAAGCAAGGCUAGACAUGUUUCAAAAACAGAUAAAACCAAGAAUACUCGGCCAGUGAAAGAAAUACAAAAGCAAGGUAAAAGUCUUAAAAAAGAGCAAAAUGGACGAAAAGAAAAGACCAAGAAAGAAGAAAAGAAGGUGAAGAAUAAAGAGCCAAAGCCCAGUAAGUAUAGUGAUCCAGUUUCUUUGCCUGAUAAAGGUGUCAAAGUUACAACUGAUAAAAAACCGACGAAAACCUUGCCACCACCUCAGGGGCCUAAGAAAGAUAAGACUAUAAAGAAUAAAAGCGGUGAUAAUUCAGGAGAGUGGACCAUUGUACAAAAGAGAAUGAAAAAGUCCUAUUCUUCAAAAACCAUUAAACCCGAUAGUCCUGGGUCUAGCGUACAAACCAGAGGUCCUAAUUGCUCUGAACUCACAGCCCUGGGAAAGCAGUCUGAUACAAGCACUGUAACCAAACCACAUUAUAAAGAGCAUCCGGAAAUCAUUCCGACUAUAAAUAUUGGAAGAACUGGUAGUUCUAAUAAACCAGGGGCACUAGACCCUUCACUUACCCCAAAACCCUCCCGUACACCUAAAAAUGAAGCAAUCACCAAAGGUAAUUUGCCGCAGAAAACAGCAACCAAUGGUACAACAACCAGAACUACAAAUGAGUUGGCGCAGGGUUUUUUUUCCUACAAGGGUAAUAAAGCAGAAAAUGAUUCUAAGCAGUAUCUUGACUUUGCAAAUCAAAAUAAGAGAAAAUUCCAAACUGACUAUGCUAAAACAGUGUACAAACCGAAUGCCUUGUCCAGUGAGUUUACAAAUGGGUUUGGCAGUGAUAUUAGCGAAAAGUCAAAGAAGCCCAGCGCUUCUUUAAAUCAAGAACAUUCUAUUGAUUCUACCUUCGUGGGAACCAAUGUGGCAUGCAGUAAUGUUGGAACUGAGCCUCCUAGUGAGGUCCACAGCUCAUCAAAUACUUUUGUCAAUCCAAAUGAAAUCGACAGUCAAAGGCUUGCUGCAAAUCCUGUAAACUUCUGCUCUCCAAGUCAAGUUCCACCUAUUCAGACAACUUUUCUCAACAUCGCCUCUAGUCAAAUGCUGAACCAAACUUUUCCCUUGAAUGCUGCAGAUGCCAAUUUGAUACCCCAAAUUGAAAAUUUUGAUCCAUAUAGAAAUUCAGUGAUUUAUUCUUACACUGAACAAAAUCAGCAGAGAGUGGAAAACACUACAGAGUCAUCUAACAACUUCUCUGCAUCAUUCCCAGAUGCAGGAACCGAAAUAUUUUCUUACACAACCUACAAUGAAAACUUCCCAAUUCUAUAUAACUCGUCCAGUGGCUUUGUUGAAAUGCCCCCUGACCAUUUAACCUCCUUUGCAAAUAGUGGCGAGAACAAGUCGUAUUACCAGGAAAAUGUCUAUCAUCCAGGCGAAGCAUUUGUGCAAUUGGAUAGUGCUGGAAAUCAUUUCAAUGGCUUUAAUAGUAACUCCGCCCAUAUCAGUGGACUUCCUAACAAGGCACCCCUAGGUCAGUUUGUCUCAAGUGAUAAUGCUGCAUCCUAUCAUUGUGACAUCAAUGUUGAUGAAAAAAACUAUGGGCUCUCAGAUGGUAAUUCAGAUGGAGCUCAGCACGGUUCUCCUUUUAAUCCUGAGGAAGUUCUAGCUACUGCUGUGCCUACCUCAAAGGCUAUAGAUGAGUCACUUCAAGAUUUAGCAAGUCCGCAUGGACUAAGUAAUGCGCAACAAGAGUCUGAUCGGGAUACUAAUAUAGUAAAAGAAGAAUUACCGAGGGAAGACCAAGGGAAUGAAGAAGAGUUGUCAUAUUUUGCAGGAGGAGAGGACAGUCUAGUUGACGAGAACUUGUCAUCAGAGGAGGAAGGAAGUGACCCAGAAUGUGAAAGAUCUCUGUCUAUAAAUGAAGAAGAAUGCAGUGAAGAUACAUUUGAAGAAUCGUCUCUAGAAGUAAAUAAUUUAAAGCAUGAAGGGAUGUCAUCAACGGCAGAUCAGGGUUUGGUUAAAUCUGAUGAAGAUGAGACAGUGUUAAGUGAUGAUGAAGCAUCUGAGGAUGAAAUAGAAAACCAGAAGAGGCCUUUAACCAAAGAGGAAGUAAUUGACAGUGCAGAAGAGAGUACAAAAGAAAGCAAAAGUGAGGCUACUAGUCAAGCUAAGAGUGGUGUGGGAAAUCAGUCAGUUCAAGAAGAUGACAGUAUGAGGAGCAAUGAAAUGAGAAAUAACGAAGAACAUGCGGUAGAAAGAGACCUAACCGGAAGUGAUUUUUGUGUGGAGAAUGAAGUGACAAAUCAACAUACACCACUUGCUGCUGGAGAGGACUCGUUUAUAGGUGGAUGUCACAUUCAAAAAAAUAUGGAAGUAAAAGAAAAUCCUCAGGAUUUUGACAGUCCUGAAUCCUUAGAUUCCAAAGCAGUAGAGUGCCCUCACAUCAAUUACUUUGAGCUCCAGUCUAAUGAGGAUAUCUCCAAAAUUUUGGGGAAAAAUGAGGAUGCAGGAAUGGUGAGCUCAUCUCUUGUUGAAUCAAGUGGAAGUUUGAGAUCUGAGAUUGAUGAGCUUGAGGUGGAUGAGGAAAAGCUGAUCGUAGAACAACUGUCAGAUGCAUUGCUGGAUGAGUCUGAAACCUCACAACCUGCGAUUGCAGAUGUGAGCCGGGACACCCUGAUGCCAAAGCCUGUAGUUAGUGCAGAGAAUGCUUUGUACAACAUUAUGGAAGAGCCAGGAGAGGUCGAGGAGAAAUGUCAUGUUGAAGCAUCAGUACCAAUCUGCAAGGAGCCAUCUGUACAAGCAAUUGACCAGAAUCUGCUACCCAAUCUACCCUCUAAUGAAACUUUCGACAAAAAUCGUACAACUCCCGAUUCUAGCACACAACUCAUUUAUGAUCACUCGGAGUCGAAUCCCAUAAUCUUGGAAAAAUUUGUCAAUGAUGAAUUCUCAGUGAAGGUGACUGAAUCUUUAAGCUCAUCUUUCGAUAAAAAAGAAUUCGAAGCUGCAGGGUGA
Molecule: long non-coding RNA, 3111 nt
Filed under: Bemisia tabaci
Lineage: Eukaryota; Metazoa; Arthropoda; Insecta; Hemiptera; Aleyrodidae
Description: lncRNA ENSASIAIIG012653
Source: RNAcentral